Molecule: transfer RNA, 71 nt
Filed under: Candidatus Saccharimonadota bacterium
Lineage: Bacteria; Candidatus Saccharimonadota
Description: tRNA-Gln
Rfam family: tRNA
About the family: Transfer RNA (tRNA) molecules are approximately 80 nucleotides in length. Their secondary structure includes four short double-helical elements and three loops (D, anti-codon, and T loops).
Source: RNAcentral
UGGGACUUUGUGUAAUGGUAGCACGUCAGAUUUUGAUUCUGUUAGUGAAAGUUCGAGUCUUUCAGUCCCAU